This 76-nucleotide transfer RNA is filed under the name Candidatus Peregrinibacteria bacterium HGW-Peregrinibacteria-1. RNAcentral describes it as "tRNA-Met". It matches the Rfam family "tRNA". From Rfam's summary of the family: Transfer RNA (tRNA) molecules are approximately 80 nucleotides in length. Their secondary structure includes four short double-helical elements and three loops (D, anti-codon, and T loops). Further hydrogen bonds mediate the characteristic L-shaped molecular structure. tRNAs have two regions of fundamental functional importance: the anti-codon, which is responsible for specific mRNA codon recognition, and the 3' end, to which the tRNAs corresponding amino acid is attached (by aminoacyl-tRNA synthetases). tRNAs cope with the degeneracy of the genetic code in two manners: having more than one tRNA (with a specific anti-codon) for a particular amino acid; and 'wobble' base-pairing, i.e. permitting non-standard base-pairing at the 3rd anti-codon position. Lineage: Bacteria; Candidatus Peregrinibacteriota. The record is from RNAcentral.
GGGCCCAUAGCUCAGGGGUUAGAGCAGUCGGCUCAUAACCGAUUGGUCCUUGGUUCAAAUCCAAGUGGGCCCACCA